Molecule: non-coding RNA, 72 nt
Organism: Mauremys mutica (yellowpond turtle)
Lineage: Eukaryota; Metazoa; Chordata; Testudines; Geoemydidae
Source: the annotation of a RefSeq genome assembly
GGGGGUAUAGCUCAGUGGUAGAGUGUUUGACUGCAGUUUAAGUGGUCCUUAGUUCAAAUCCAAGUGCCCCCU